RNAcentral lists this long non-coding RNA (1184 nucleotides) under Parus major (Great Tit). RNAcentral's name for it is "lncRNA (ENSPMJG00000001843.1)". The record is from RNAcentral. Lineage: Eukaryota; Metazoa; Chordata; Aves; Passeriformes; Paridae.
UGAGUGUUGACACACCGAAAUUCAGGAGGCUUCUGAACCCCGCAAAACAGGGGUCUGACAGAUCUGUCAGGGCACACCUGCUUUAGGGGACCGGCCUUCCUACCAGGAAUGCUCAUUUUUAAAAGCUUUCAAGAGCCAUCUUCCGUGUACACCUAACGUUUAAAGAAGGGGUUUAUUUUCAGGGCUGAUUUGUCCGGGCGCCUUGGGCGGCCCCGCUGUCCCGCGGGGCGCAGGAGCGCGGUGGGGCCGCGGCUCUGCCGGGCAGGGCUCGGGGGGGCUGCCCUUGCCAGGCGGGACCGGCAGCCCGAGCACUGCCAGAACACAACAGCCUGUGUAAUUGUUGCUCUCAAGUGAGCACCGGGUGCUUCCUGGCUCUGGCUGCUCUCGCUGCUCGUGUCUGUGUUAUGCAGGCGUCUGCUCUGCCGAGCAGGGCUUUGCGAGAAGACAGAAGAGGUUUGAUUGACCCUGUUGGGAGCGUGAGCUGUGGGCUCUGUGGAUGCUUUGCUGUGACGGAGGGCCGAGGGCUGACCAAGUCGUGGGGAGGAUUUGUAUGUGGGAAGAGAGGAGAUGGCUGUGCAGCGUGCUCCCGAAUCUGCUCUGAGCUUGCUGAUGGUCUCAAUUGCAUUCAAGUUGAGCUUUUACCAAGUGCCAUACAGAAUCCAACACCACAUGUAUGUUAACUGCAUUUCAACUCAGAGACAGAUGAAGCAUCAUAUGAGAAAAGGCUCAUUUAAAUUCUGUGUUAUAAUGGAGUGACAGAUCCAUACAGUAAAAAUCAUGAGUAAUUUUCCUUCCCUAAUGAUUCUGGCUUAAAAACAUGUUAACAGAAAGGUUGUGUUUUGUUGUGUUAAAAUUUUGUAUUUUUCAUCUGCAUUUUGGAAUUCCACAUUUGAAAGCUUAUUCCUCAAGAACAAAGGUUGGAAACUUUAAUUCCAUGCUUUCCAGUUUUAAAAAAAGAUGAGGCACAAAACUGAAGGGCACAGAUUAUAUGUUUAAAAUACAGGGAGUUCCAUCCUGCUGUGUGCUUCACCAAAGAAAAUACCUGCUAUAAGCUGUAUAUAGGCCAUGUUCUGUUUAUCCUACCCUGUUCCCUAACAGACUGUAUGGAGCUGUCUCAACUGUGUCAGAGGCAGGAGAGUUCCCAGCUCCAUAAUAAACUUUGGUCUAUCACAUAUUUUACCCCA